UACGUAGGGCGCAAGCGUUAUCCGGAAUUAUUGGGCGUAAAGAGCUCGUAGGCGGUUUGUCGCGUCUGCCGUGAAAGUCCGGGGCUCAACUCCGGAUCUGCGGUGGGUACGGGCAGACUAGAGUGAUGUAGGGGAGACUGGAAUUCCUGGUGUAGCGGUGAAACGCGCAGAUAUCAGGAGGAACACCGAUGGCGAAGGCAGGUCUCUGGGCAUUAACUGACGCUGAGGAGCGAAAGCAUGGGGAGCGAACAGG
This 253-nucleotide ribosomal RNA is filed under the name uncultured bacterium. Its description in RNAcentral is "partial 16S ribosomal RNA". It matches the Rfam family "Bacterial small subunit ribosomal RNA", at positions 524 to 776 of the family's 1533-position model. The record is from RNAcentral.